AACGAACGCUGGCGGCAUGCCUAACACAUGCAAGUCGAACGAGAUCUUCGGGUCUAGUGGCGCACGGGUGCGUAACGCGUGGGAAUCUGCCCUUUGGUUCGGAAUAACAGUUGGAAACGACUGCUAAUACCGGAUGAUGACGAAAGUCCAAAGAUUUAUCGGCAAAGGAUGAGCCCGCGUAGGAUUAGGUAGUUGGUGGGGUAAAGGCCUACCAAGCCGACGAUCCUUAGCUGGUCUGAGAGGAUGAUCAGCCACACUGGGACUGAGACACGGCCCAGACUCCUACGGGAGGCAGCAGUGGGGAAUAUUGGACAAUGGGCGAAAGCCUGAUCCAGCAAUGCCGCGUGAGUGAUGAAGGCCUUAGGGUUGUAAAGCUCUUUUACCCGGGAUGAUAAUGACAGUACCGGGAGAAUAAGCUCCGGCUAACUCCGUGCCAGCCGCCGCGGUAA
RNAcentral lists this ribosomal RNA (449 nucleotides) under uncultured bacterium. RNAcentral describes it as "partial 16S ribosomal RNA". It matches the Rfam family "Bacterial small subunit ribosomal RNA", at positions 29 to 523 of the family's 1533-position model. The record is from RNAcentral.